UACAGAGGUCUCAAGCGUUGUUCGGAUUCAUUGGGCGUAAAGGGUGCGUAGGUGGCGCGCUAAGUCAGGUGUGAAAUUUCGGAGCUUAACUCCGAAACUGCAUUUGAUACUGGCGUGCUUGAGGACUGGAGAGGAGACUGGAAUUCACGGUGUAGCAGUGAAAUGCGUAGAGAUCGUGAGGAAGACCAGUGGCGAAGGCGGCUUACUGGUCCAUUACUGACGCUGAGGUGCGAAAGCGUGGGGAGCAAACAGG
Molecule: ribosomal RNA, 253 nt
Filed under: uncultured bacterium
Lineage: Bacteria
Description: partial 16S ribosomal RNA
Rfam family: Bacterial small subunit ribosomal RNA
Source: RNAcentral